AAUCGAGUAAUAAUUUAAGUCCACUUAACUUACAUUGUAAACUGUUAAUAAAAGGCAAUUUGACAAUGCAUACAUAUAGUGCGAUGAUCGAACUAAAAAUUUGUUACAAAUUAAUAUCUAUUUGAUGCGUUUAACAAAUUCUUGCACAAUAACCGUCCACCAUGACCGCUCCACCACCACCCUGAGGCUCGACAUGAGUCAAUUUUAAUCGUGUCAAAUAUACAUUGUUUGGAUCCUCAUGCACAUUAAGCAACAUUCUUAAUUUUUUUCUGCCUAUAAACCAUUAUUCUUCUUCGUCUUCGUUCUCCUGCUCCUCUUCACUUACUAUCUCUACAUUCCCUAUCCAAGCCAACCGCAACUAUCAAUGGCCCAUCCGGCUCAAAAUCCCCAAACCUUCUACACCCAGACUACGAACUUUGAGGGACUUUUUGCCAAUAUUUUCUCCUUUCAAGUCUGCAAACAAUAAUAUUAAUGUAAAGUAAUUAGUGUAAAGUGGUUUAUGCCCACUCAUGGCCAGUACAACCACGAACUCUGCCGUCUCGCCUACAUGAUGUGCGUCCACUCCCACAAUUUUCCCCCUUACUAUGGCGAGGCCUCCAUUACUUCCGAAUAUUUUGUUCGGAUUAUUUGCCAUCAAGGAUAAAUUAGCAUGUGUGAUAAAAGUUCCUAUGAUUUGACACUACAGAGGUAGAGCAACAUGAAAAAUAAAAGAUCAUGCUUCUAAUCUUUGGACUUUUGUAGUUUAAAAAAAUGGCGAUAAUCUUACAACAUUUUUCAGACUCCCGUCCUAAUUGAAAAUGAUUGAUGCAUUAAGAAACACCUAUGGAAUCCAAAAAAAAAACUAACAGCAAGCCACAGUGACAUGGAUGGCUACCUUAUUGCUUUGGAAGUGAAUGGCAUGAGCCGUCCCCUAUAUGCACCAAACAGUUCCAGCCAUGCACAGCUAGCCGAGAAACAUUGGGUCAAAACAAGGGUGUUGGUACCUUGAGCAACGACACCAUCACGUUGACAAAUGCCCAACCCAAUUGCUCGUCGCCAUCCUCGGGCACCACCUGAACACACUCCUCUAGACCCAGGCGUUUCGAACGACAUCCUCCCCGCUUCCCCUGGGCGAUGGCCGACUACCGUAACUUCUCUGGAGCGAAUCCUUCCAAAGCGCUGCCGACAACAUCGUCCCUGUGGCGCUGCUCCUUCCUUUUCGUGCCUUUUGCUUCAUUGACCUCCUUCCUAUGAAGUUUUAGUAACAAGGUACAUUUCAGUAAUCAGUAAAAAAAAUUCAGAUAUUAGUACAAGAAAAAUGAGCCACUUGACAAAGUUUUAGUAGAAAUCAGAUUUUCGUACAACAAGAUAUUUUAGUACGUACUAAAAAGAAUAGUACAAGGGCAAUCAUCCGAACAAUAUCAUCAGAAGUAUGAAACUGAACCUUUAGUCGCAGAAGGUGACUACCCUUGUCAUCUCAAGAUUCAAGCCUCUCCUCUUAUCUUGUUCUCCGAGCAUGCACUAAAAACUGCAAAAAAUACAGAACAUGUACAUGUGUGAACUGAAAUAGUGGAACUCAAACAAACCUUCAUCAAUAGAUCUUUUUUGAACUAUAUGGUCAAUUAUGUACAUGGUCCUCAUAGUGAAAACUAAAAUAUUGGGUUAGCCUUUCCCAUAUCUUUUUUGAAGAAAAUCAUAAGCAUCAGCACCUACUAUGUGGAAGACAAAUCUCCCAGCUUGUUUAUGAUUCAGAAUUCAACUGCAUUCAGGCCAAUACGAAUAGCAUCUCAAGGAUCUAGGUAAAUACCUGGAACAAAACUCAAUGAAGAACCAUAACAUCAGUCAAAACUAAACAUGGAAAUUUUGAACUCACUAUUUUAUGUCAGUCCAGUAGAACGCCCGUGCGUUGCUACGGGCUACAAUGCAUAUAAAUAAAUCAAAAAAUAAUUAAAUUCUAAAGUGGAAGCUCAUUUCUUCCUCCUACGUUCAAGUGUGAACGUACAUCAAACGGACAUCUAGCAGGAUCCCCAAAAUUCAACCGUCUGGAGAAUAGGGUAUCUUCAAAUCCAUGCAUAUCCAUAUGUGAGGAAGAAAUAUGGUUAUCCAGACUAUCUGCCAUGUUAUCUCUAACAAGUGCGGGCCGAACAAAUUAAAAAAAAACCACACCCACGACGCACCCUUCUCUUUCCCUGCCGAACCCUCACCUCCCCGCUCGUUUCCCGUCAUAACGAGACAUUUUUCACUGGAGCCUUCUCCAUUGAAACCAGAUAACGCCCAUCUCACCUUCGUCAUGUCGCACUCUCUUCUUCACAUUGUAUUUCCCCACGGACCGCCGAGGAGUCCCCCGCCAACCGCCCCGCUCUCUGUUCUGUUCCCCUCCCCAUGUGUUUCUGUCGAUGGGGGGAGUUGUGCGCCACCCAUGACACCCUCCGAGCCAAGAAGGUAGAUCUGAUGUCUCCUUAGCCAUUUUCAGAUUGUAACAUAUAGUUCCCCUCCCCAGGUGUUUGUGUGGAACCAACGUCGGGAGUCAGCCGAGCGCCACCCUGGCGCUGGUUUUGGCAAUGCUCCAUGUGCCCAGAGAUUCCGCGUGAUCCACCGAUGCAGUGAAGGCAGGAGCCUCCGCCAUCAUCGUCGACCGCCUAGGCUUAGCCCGUCAGCAUCCUCCGGCGACGAAGGAGGUAACGGAGAGAGGACACGGUGACCCUGGAGGCCGGGGGUAUUGGAUCCACCCGAGUCACCGGCCACGGUGGCAACAUGGGGCCGACCUACUUUUUUUUGUAGAAGCAUAUAUUGAGAAAAAAAAGCCCAAACAAUGAAAAGGAGAAUAACAAUGAUAAUUUUCUGAGAGACCCCACUUCUUGGUGUAAGAUUUUCAUCUAAGAAAAAUAAAUACACAACAAGAAGAUGGAAGCUACCUCAAGUUAUGAAAGCCCCCAUAUUCUUGUUAGUACUGUAUAUAUGUCAUUAGGGCCUCUCGUACUGCCUUCAAGAUUAAAAAAAUAGAUCUAUACAAGAAAAGCAGAUCCUUCAAAAUUGCAAUAUCAACAAAUAUUACACCUAUGCAUUACUAAGGUCUAAGGAGUAUUAAAAUAUGAGAUUUACAGGAAACAAAUUGGAAAACUAUUGAGAUAUUUCAAAAGAGAAAACAUAUAUACAAGGGAAUAUAUUGCUUCAAUUCUCACAUUUUCAGGCCUGUCACCUCCAUCGUAAUUAUAUGUGUCUUUAUCCCUCUAGGACUACAGGAGAAAAAUGCAUAUGCACACGUUAGUGGGUACCAUGUUAACAAAAGAAAGUUCUUUCGAUUAACAAUAGCAGUACCAUGAAUGUUGUUCCACUUCUCUACAGCGCAAUGGUUGCCUGGCACUGAAAAGUCUAUCUCAUUCUUACCUGCUGAAUGGUUUCCUUUAGCUGUCGCUAUUCUUUACGGAUACCGUUGCUGGCCUAA
This 3424-nucleotide long non-coding RNA is filed under the name Triticum aestivum (bread wheat). RNAcentral's name for it is "long non-coding RNA (TAES_LNC001833)". The record is from RNAcentral. Lineage: Eukaryota; Viridiplantae; Streptophyta; Magnoliopsida; Poales; Poaceae.